RNAcentral lists this ribosomal RNA (1363 nucleotides) under uncultured bacterium. Its description in RNAcentral is "bacterial SSU rRNA". It matches the Rfam family "Bacterial small subunit ribosomal RNA", at positions 28 to 1381 of the family's 1533-position model. The record is from RNAcentral.
AUUGAACGCUGGCGGCAGGCCUAACACAUGCAAGUCGAACGGUAACAGGAAACAGCUUGCUGUUUCGCUGACGAGUGGCGGACGGGUGAGUAAUGUCUGGGAAACUGCCUGAUGGAGGGGGAUAACUACUGGAAACGGUAGCUAAUACCGCAUAACGUCGCAAGACCAAAGAGGGGGACCCUCGGGCCUCUUGCCAUCGGAUGUGCCCAGAUGGGAUUAGCUUGUUGGUGGGGUAACGGCUCACCAAGGCGACGAUCCCUAGCUGGUCUGAGAGGAUGACCAGCCACACUGGAACUGAGACACGGUCCAGACUCCUACGGGAGGCAGCAGUGGGGAAUAUUGCACAAUGGGCGCAAGCCUGAUGCAGCCAUGCCGCGUGUAUGAAGAAUGUCUUCGGGUUGUAAAGUACUUUCAGCGGGGAGGAAGGGAGUAAAGUUAAUACCUUUGCUCAUUGACGUUACCCGCAGAAGAAGCACCGGCUAACUCCGUGCCAGCAGCCGCGGUAAUACGGAGGGUGCAAGCGUUAAUCGGAAUUACUGGGCGUAAAGCGCACGCAGGCGGUUUGUUAAGUCAGAUGUGAAAUCCCCGGGCUCAACCUGGGAACUGCAUCUGAUACUGGCAAGCUUGAGUCUCGUAGAGGGGGGUAGAAUCCCAGGUGUAGCGGUGAAAUGCGUAGAGAUCUGGAGGAAUACCGGUGGCGAAGGCGGCCCCCUGGACGAAGACUGACGCUCAGGUGCGAAAGCGUGGGGAGCAAACAGGAUUAGAUACCCUGGUAGUCCACGCCGUAAACGAUGUCGACUUGGAGGUUGUGCCCUUGAGGCGUGGCUUCCGGAGCUAACGCGUUAAGUCGACCGCCUGGGGAGUACGGCCGCAAGGUUAAAACUCAAAUGAAUUGACGGGGGCCCGCACAAGCGGUGGAGCAUGUGGUUUAAUUCGAUGCAACGCGAAGAACCUUACCUGGUCUUGACAUCCACGGAAGUUUUCAGAGAUGAGAAUGUGCCUUCGGGAACCGUGAGACAGGUGCUGCAUGGCUGUCGUCAGCUCGUGUUGUGAAAUGUUGGGUUAAGUCCCGCAACGAGCGCAACCCUUAUCCUUUGUUGCCAGCGGUCCGGCCGGGAACUCAAAGGAGACUGCCAGUGAUAAACUGGAGGAAGGUGGGGAUGACGUCAAGUCAUCAUGGCCCUUACGACCAGGGCUACACACGUGCUACAAUGGCGCAUACAAAGAGAAGCGACCUCGCGAGAGCAAGCGGACCUCAUAAAGUGCGUCGUAGUCCGGAUUGGAGUCUGCAACUCGACUCCAUGAAGUCGGAAUCGCUAGUAAUCGUGGAUCAGAAUGCCACGGUGAAUACGUUCCCGGGCCU